UACGUAGGGAGCAAGCGUUAUCCGGAUUUAUUGGGUGUAAAGGGUGCGUAGACGGGAAAACAAGUUGGUUGUGAAAUCCCUCGGCUUAACUGAGGAACUGCAACCAAAACUAUUUUUCUUGAGUGCUGGAGAGGAAAGUGGAAUUCCUAGUGUAGCGGUGAAAUGCGUAGAUAUUAGGAGGAACACCAGUGGCGAAGGCGAUUUGCUGGGCCAUCACUGACGCUGAGGUACGAAAGCGUGGGGAGCAAAUAGG
Molecule: ribosomal RNA, 253 nt
Filed under: uncultured Eubacteriales bacterium
Lineage: Bacteria; Bacillati; Bacillota; Clostridia; Eubacteriales
Description: uncultured Clostridiales bacterium partial 16S ribosomal RNA
Rfam family: Bacterial small subunit ribosomal RNA
Source: RNAcentral